RNAcentral lists this long non-coding RNA (15175 nucleotides) under Sorghum bicolor (sorghum). RNAcentral's name for it is "long non-coding RNA (SBIC_LNC005615)". Lineage: Eukaryota; Viridiplantae; Streptophyta; Magnoliopsida; Poales; Poaceae. The record is from RNAcentral.
CGCGGCGGCAGCAGUGCAGCACACAUUCCGUCCGCCUCUUCACGGUCUCUCUAUAAAAACCGCUGACACGGGUGCUGCUCUGAAUCCCGAUGAGAUACCUCGUCGCCACGGUCUUCCUCGCAACCAAAAUGGCGGCAGCCAAGAAUCACAGCCACCCGGCCGCUUAUCGGCUUUGCUUCCUCCUCCUCUCCAUGGCCACGCUCUCCUCAUCAGUCGUCUCUGCCACGGACGCUCCCCUGUGCAGCAUCCCCUCCCCCGCGCCCGGCCAUGUGUCCGCCGGCAAGGACACACUGCCACUCAUCCACUCCUUCCAGCUCAGCUCCGGCUACUUCUUCGGCGGCGAAGACAUCCACUUUGCUAAAGACGAUAAGAGCGACGACAGCCUGUUGCAUCUUCCCCCCUCGUUCACCUUACUGCCACUCCAAGUCCAGAGCACCACCAAUUCCACCGUCAUGCACGUCGGCGCCACGUUAACCCUCUCCGGCCGCCGCGCGCGCGCGUUCCACACCGUGGCGGCCCAUCGGCGAGAUCCCUUCGCGGAUGGUCCCCACUCCGUCUCCUUCCACCUCGACGGCUACUACUCCUCCACCUCCGAGGAGCUUUGCAUGCUCGGCUCCGGCACCUACUCUAUGGGCGACGGCUGGCCCAAGCACCUUCCGGACGUCGUCCUCCGCCUCCGCGUCCCCAGCUCGCCUACCCUCAAGGACCCCUUCGUCACCGGCGAGCUCAAGGGCGCCGGCUUUGAUGCCAUCACCCUCGUCUCGUACGCCGAAGGUGACACCUACGAGUACGGCCAGAUCGCGUCCUGCCCGCCGUCUCCAGCCGUGAGAGGCGCGCUCCAGGCGCGCUUCUCGUGCGCGCGUCUCAGAGAGCAGCUCGUGAGCUCGUACAAGCUGCAGCACGGCGGCAGCGGCGUGCCCGCGUCGAGCUCGAGCACCUCUCCUGCGCUGCCGGAGCCGCGCAUGCACGUCGGCCAGGUGCAGUGCACCGCGGACGGCGCCGUGCGCCUGUACGCGACCUUCUCCAACAACACGAACCUGUGGGGCGUGCGGUACCUGCGGCCAGGCUUCGUGGUCAAGGAGGCAGCGGUCGUCGCCGAAGGGCGCUGGGACUCGACACAGAGCACGCUCUGCCUCAGGGCGUGCCGGGUGGUGCGCUCGGGGCCGACGUCCCUUGCGGUCGCGGUGCAGGACUGCAGCAUCGGGAUGAGCUUCUGGUUCCCGGCCGUCUGGACGAUUCGGGACCGGAGUAUCGUAGCCGGCAGGCUUUGGAAUUCGAGCCAAGGUACUGCUGGAAGCAACGCCGCCGCUGCAGGUGCGGUGUCGGCGUCGAGCAUCGACUUCGACAUCAACAGAGACACCUUCUCAGACGUCAAUUACACGUACACCAUGGUCGACGAGGCAAAGCAGCGUUAUUUCGCUGAUGUGCUGAGAAGCCAUGAGAACAAGGCUAACAAGGGGCCGUUCCCGUCUGCCAACUACACUUACCAUGACUUCCAGUUUCGUUUCUACAUGAACACACAGUCGAAGCAUGGAGAAGCCUAUCCUGUUACGAUUGGCUCAGCUAUAGUCGACGGGGAUAGGCUACCAGCCGGCGGUUCUUUCAGCUCCUGGCAUGGCAAGGUCGACAUGGAGCAUGAGCUGCUGAAGGUCAGCUACGACAUAUACACACGCCAUGUUCCUCCACGUGUGAAUUUCAUGAACAUGACGUCCCCAAUUACCAUAGAAGAACGCCUGAUCACAGCUGAGGGUGUUUACGAUCCGAAGACGGGUGUCCUGUGCAUGAUCGGUUGCCAAGAGCUGGAAGGCUCCACGGAAACGGACUGCCAGAUCUUGAUCACCGUGCACUUCGCCUCGCUGGAUGCCAAGGCGCAGGGCCGUGGAAGGGGAGUGAUCGGCAGCCUGAGAGCCAAGACGACAGACCCUCUCUUCUUCAGCAAGAUGGACAUUGCUCUGUUCGGGAGGUACCGCGAGCAGGUGUCCGCGUCCAUCUCGCGGAUGGACCUGGAGAGCGUCAUGCUGGUGGCCUCCACGACGCUGCCGUGCAUCUUCACGGCCCUGCAGAUCCUCCACGCCAAGAGGAGCACCGAGGCGUCCGCGUCGACGUCCAUCACCAUGCUCGUCGUCAUGGCCCUGGGCUACGUUGCGCCACUCGUGAUCAGCACCGAGGCUCUGUUCGUGAGCAGGGGAACUCAGUACGCGCCGUUCCAGAGGAAAGUGCCGUACGAGCUGAAGCAGGCGAUGCUGAGGGUGCCCACGCUGAUCGCGUUCGUGCUUCAGCUACGCCUCCUUCAACUAGCCUGGUCUGCCCGGAGCUCAGCUGCCGGCCGGAGCAAGGACGGGACGUCGUCGUCGUCGGCGGCGGCGGCAGCCGAGAGGAGAGCGCUCUGGGUAUGCCUGCCGUUGUACCUGCUCGGCGGGGCACUGACCGUCGUUCUCCACAUGGCGAACAGCCGCCGCGCCGCACAGGAGGAUUCCCUCGCCGUUCGCGUCGGCCCAGAGCUGGCCACGCUAUGGGAGGACCUCGCCUCGUCCGCGGGGCUGGCGCUGGACGGGUUCCUUCUCCCUCAGGUGGCCAUGAACGCGUUCUCCGGUGGCAAAGUGAGAGCCGUCUCGCCGUGGUUCUACGUCGGCGGCACAGUGGUUCGCGCGAUGCCCCACGUCUACGACGUGAUAAGGAGACAGGGUUACGUGCCGAGCUUGAAGCCGUCGAACGUGUACGCGAGCCCUCUGGACGACCGGUUUGGCGUCGCAUGGGACAUCGUUGUGCCGUGCGGAGCAGCGUUGCUGGCCGUGCUGCUGUUCCUUCAGCAAAGGCUUCGUAGCAGUGACACCUUGUUGUUUCGUUCGCGGAGAACAGGUGAAUACCAGAUGGUCUCUACCUAGAAAACUGGAGCAUUUCGGAUGAAGGUUGGGAGAGAUCGGUCUCGAUUUGCAUUUAAAAUUAUCUUGUCACCGCAGAAGGCGGCAUUUCUUUGUCGAUAUCGGUUUCAUUAGUGGUGUAGGAAAAUUAUAUGAUAACCGAUAAAUUUGCACACGUACUUUUUAGAUGAUUUUAUUUUCUAAUGCAAUCUUCGAGAAAAGAUUGGAAUAUAAAGCAAACAAAUAUCUUUUUUUCUAAUUUAAUAUUUUCUUAGCGAAAAUUUCUUCCCCUCGGUCCGUUGCACCCUUGAUAUGGUUCAAUCGUUUGGAGCUGCGAGAACCACCCAACACGAGCUCGUGGAUCAUCUUCCACCUUUCUCCCCCACCUCACAGUAACUACCCACAAUAGCCAUCUACUCCCUCCAUUCAUAAAAGAACAUAUUUGUAGAAAGCAUGCCGGUCAAACUAACUCAAGUUUGAUCAAGUUUAUAGAAAAUAAAUAUUAGCAUUUAUAUUUUUAAAUAAAUUUAUUAUAAAAAUAUAUUCUAUAAAUAAUCUAAUGAUACUUAUUGUGUUUCAUAAAUGUUAGUACUUUUUUUAUAUAAUUCGAGUCAAAGUUUGAAUUGUUUGACUCCUCAUAAUGUGAGAAUUACAUUCUUUUGUGGACGAAUGGAGUAUAAUCUAAUUAAGCUGAAUUAAUCUUCAAUCAAUUUUCUAUAUGGGAUUAAUUCUUUCUCGCAUAUAGUUAAACAAUUUGUCUAUACCUAAUAAUAAGGAGGCAAAAAUUUUUGUCAAGAUUUUUUCAUCUACAUGUAAGAUGUAAGACUUUUCCUAAACCAAGAUUACAUGUAAGAUGUAAGACUUCUUCUAAACCAAGAUUAAAUCUCAAAUACAUCUAUUUAGGAACAUGAGUCAAGUACAACCUCUGCACCAUUAUUUUUCUUUGACUCAGAAACAAUGGCUAAUUGUGUCUGAAAUGCAAAACAAGAUUGGCUUAUGUUUCUAAAGUUGAACUCGCAUAUACUUACAACUCCAUAAUAAAUUUGUUUGCUACAGCGGCCGUUGCUACAUUACAGGUUCAAUAGGAGGAAGAGGAUCUCACCGCCGAAUCAUUCCAUGGUUAGGUCUCAUCAAUUGAGAUACUCCACGGGGCCCGCUGCUGUCACGAGUGCCUAGUCCAGAUACUGUGUAGCAACUUCGCCGACACGUGUGAGCUCUAGCUCCACCUCCACUGUUCGCACCACUGCUACUGCACAUUGCUCGGACGGCUGGGAUCUGAGGAGGAGCGCCUAUCGUGCUGAACCCCUUGUUCGUUGGCACAUGUUGGCCAUCACCUUCGUCCGAGGUGCCAAAACGGUCCGCACGCUAGACACAAGCAGUGAGAGUUUGAGGCACUAUCGGGCAUGGACAUGGCGAUGCUAGAGCUAUCUGGCUUGAAUCGCUGAACUCAUAGGCCUGUGCAUGUCUUUGCUAGUGGCACUAAAGGUACGGACCGUGCCGCUCAACCCCAAGUCCCUGGAUGUCCCAUGGCCAUAGCUCUAGCCGUAUUGUGCGCUUUUCUGAUGUCUUGGUAGAGCACAACCAUAGUCACUUGUGUUGCAACAAGAUAGGUAACAACAACUGCAAAAAUUAUCAAAGAGAUGACAUAGCGAUGGAAGAAACCAGCAGAAAAACAAGAAAAGUGUGGUGGCUAAAUUCUGAUUGACACGCGAACAUGAAGAAAAAGAGAGAUACAAAGACAAGUUUACUAAAUAUUAUAGAAAGAGGAAAAUAUAAUUUCUCCCUCUUACAACAUACGGUUACUUUUGGAAGUUAUAACCUAUAACUAUAGGAUAAUUUUUUACGUUCAAUGGGACAUCUGUCAGCCCUACAUACUAUUUAUUUUUCAUUGCAUCAUUUUUUAUGUUGUGGGUUCAUAUCCUCUUCACUUGGCUAAUAAACUAUGACUGAAAGUAUUAUUUACUAAUUUAUUAUAAGACAAAAAAUACUGCUGAAUGGCUACCAGAUUCGGCAGAUAAGCUUAAGUGAAGUUUUAUUUCCAUCUGCACCAUUUUUAUGUUGUGGGUUUAGUUAGAUUUCUGUUUUAUUUAUUUUCCAUGUGCAUCAUUUUAUUUCCUAUUUUUAUGUCACCGUCAUUUUGUCUGUUGUCUUUCUAUUUUCCUUUCUCUUUGUCUGUUUUCAUUUCUUUCGUUGUAUGCCCUUUUUUCUCUUUUUUAUCGGGUUUUUCUAUUUUCCUUCUCCCUUUGUCUGUUUUCAUUUCUUUCAUCCUCUUGUCCUUUUUUUCUCCUCUUCUUUUUCUAGUUUUUCUUUUCUCUAUGUCUUUUCUAUAAUAAAGGAAAAAUAUAAGAAUUUUAAUGUAAAGAUUAGAAACUGAACUUAUGAUCAUAGCUUUAUAUUAGAUAUAUAUAAAGAUUUCACCGUCAAAGCUAUUAUUGUGUUUGUGAGUUUAAUGCACAAAUCAUCCAAUUUAAGUGUUAGAUCACAACAUACCUAAUCUAUCUAUAAAUACCUAAUAUAAAAGAGAUAUUGAGUCUUUUAACUAUUUUGUUUUAAUUCCCUCAAUACCCUCACGCCCCUCCAUAUGUGACCCAAACUCAUAACUUUACUCAUACAAGUUAGAAUUACACGUUUCGCGUGUUUAGCAACGUUGUAUGAAUUCUGAUUUCAUGAUGUAUUGUUUAAAUCUCUGAGCCAGAAAUUAUUGUGAAGACGAUGCAAUAAGUUGUACACUAUAUUUUAUUGUAACAUAUGGGCAUAUUUACUAAAUACAUUAAGAAAAAUAAGAACCAAAACAGAAAAUAUCAUGUCAGCAAUCAAAUUUGGCAGUCUUCACCUCCACCACAUCCAUCAUAACCAUGGCAACACUGUGUUGUCUUCUGUCACCGUUGAUCAUACCAUUAGUGUAAACAAUGAUAAAAAUAUAGCCAACCAAGAUUUCAACGAACCCAGAUCUCGUACUAGCUUCUGAAAACCAUAAUAGUUAUUCGUCCCAAUUCUCAAAUACUGUAUUCAAAAAUUGCUGAAAGAACGUUAGGGAGGCCGCGCUAUGAGUCCAUUCCAAAUAUACUCUUGCGCCACCAUCCAUCAACGCAACCACAAGCCUCAAACACAUGUCGUCAAUGCUGGCUCACCAUAGUUUGGGUAAAGAGAAAGCAAGAGAACUGCCAAAAAAAAGGUCAACAUCAAAACAACAAAGCUAGGGAUACAAAACCCAUAGCCAACCACGCUCUCCAUGGAAGCAAUCACUAGAGUAAGGUGACAAAACAGAAGAUCCACCAUUGUCUCUAUAGCUGAAGGCCAUGAAAAACAAAUAUUAUGUUUGGAUGAAACCCUAAACAACUCCGAGAUCUAAUAAAAGAAUAGAAUCCCGCUAUCUUGACGCCAAUUUAGCAUACUAGUACAAUGCCCGUGCUAACGCCACGGUUUUAUUCUAAGGAUGCACUUAAAAACAACAAUUUUCAACGAAACAACGAUAUUUUUUCUAUAGUUUUUUGAGCAUUCAUAUAAUCCAGAAUACACUCAUAAAUAAGGAAUAAUAAAGCCAUGUCUCAUAUACUACAAAUAAGUUCUUAAUUGCUUAAGCAGAUCUCGGAGUUCUUCAGGGAUGAUGAUUGCUUAAGCCAUGUCUCUUAGUAGGAUGAAGUAGCAUGAAUCUGGACUGUUGCCAUACCCAAUGGUUGUUGCACUAAAUCCUCCCCACCGGUAGGACCCACUGGUUGCUCCAGUAAAUCCUCACCAUUAGUAGGAGACGUUGACUCUUUGGGACUGUCAUUGUAGGGCAUGAACUUAUUCCAUCCAGUUUCUCCUUUGGGAUUUAAUAAAGGAUAUGCUGAUGGAUCAUAACACCCAUGAUAAGCUUUGAUAUAGCGCAUCUUCUCUCCUUUAGGGUAUACAAUAACACUCCUAUCAAAACAUCUUUGGGGGUCAUCUCCAUCGGUCCAGAUAGCAGCAACUUGUGAGGUAGUAGGGGCAUUAUACCUUAAAAAAUUAUGCACAAAUUAAAAAAAGAGGAAGUAGUAUAUUCGUUGGUUGUUAAAAAAAAUUAAAAUUAACAUGUAAUGGAGAAGAGGUUGUACCUUCGUUGGUCAGGUGUCACAUUAGUGUUGAGCUCAAUUACAUAAUCACCAAGAUUCGGAAUAGAGCCAGCUCUAUUAAAGGUUUGUACAUAAGGGUUAUUUGCUUGUAGUAUCCUGAGCACAUUUCUUACAAUAUUUAUAUCAAGAUCAGGUGACCUUUUCACUCUAUGAGACAAUGUAUCUGCUUCUUCUGUGUCAUAAAAGUAGAGUUGCAGGUGACGUGGCUCUUUUGACCCUGGCAGUAAAUGGUCCAGACGAUGAUACAUUCACCAUGUACACGAAAUGUAUAUAUGCCGGUACCUGCCGCUGUGCAGUAUCUCCGGUCCAGUGUAACUCCGAGACUUGUGAAUGAGAAGUGAGAGUUGAAGUACCGUAUGUGUUUUAUGAAAUAUUUUGCAUCAGUAUCCACCGGACUCGUGAACAACCUCUUCAACUCAGCAGGUACAUCAUUGAUAUGCACUUUUAUCUUUCCCAUUCUACAACAGAAUCCAGGUGGUUCGCCUUCAAAUCUCAUGGCUCCACAAUAUCGGCAGUCAGGAACCUUUUUCAAAACAUGGUGCUCUUCCGGCAAGUUAUGGUAGACAAAAUCAUAUGGGUCAUCAGCUACAGUUUUGCCAUUGCAAUCGUCGUUGACACGAUAUGACUCAAAUGCACAUUCUGUAUAUUGAAAAAUAUGUCAAUGUGGCAGUCACUCCACAUGGUUAGAAAUAACAAUUUAUUAAGUAAUAGUUACCUUCACCAAGAAACUGCAUAGUCUCAAAAUCUUUAGGACCAUCUUCUUCUAUGACAAAUUCCUCUUCUAUAUCACUUAGAUGAUCUAUUUCACAUGCGCUUGAAAUUAACAGGAUGCAUGCAACAAAAUGCCAACUAAAGAAAAAAACUGCAUUGGUUAAGUGAUUUGUAAAACCAACCUUCAUCAUCAGAUUCAUGGUUUGUAGGUUCGAAUAAAACAAUGUCAAAUUCGAUUUCAUCGUUGGUGUCUACACAUCUGAUCACAGGUAUAUGGUUAACAUUUUCUUCCUGGGCAACAGUAGGGCAUGCUCGGCGGUUGUUAUCCGCUGCUCUUGCUUUUUUGUAUUGUCGCCUCUGUUUUAGCAAUUUUGCCUUGGCUGUCGCAUCCAUGUUUAGGUACCAGUUUCGUUUGCUGAGCAGUUUGGCAGUGCUUGAGCUGACACCUGAUCACCAUUGAACACAAAGAGAUAUAUUUGACCCAAUCUCCACCCCAUCGAAAUUUACAAUGUCCUAGUUAGAUGUUAGCAUACCUGUAUUUAUUAUGGUGCUGUUUGAACCUUCAGUCGCCAAAGGCGUCAAUGGUGGUCUUUGUUUCCUGACGUACUCAUCAUUCCUAUGUAGCCAGUCAUUGCACUCAAGUGGAUCAUCAUUUUCCUUGUCAUGAUAUAUUGAUGCUUGGCAAAUGGCUGAAACACCAAUUUCUUGUGGUGAUUUUCCUCCUGCAAGUUUUAAUAUUCAAUUAAACUGCACAUACCAGAGGUAUAUUUAUUCUGUAGUAUUAUAAUCAAUUGCAUUAACAAAAACCACGUACCCAAUCGAGAUGGGGCCAAGGUGGAAUAUACUGCUUCUGUCAUGCUAACAUCUGUGCAACUGGAUAUAGGUUCUACAUCAGAUGGUUCUGCGUGUAUAAAAAUUAACCGUGUUACUCAUUUCGAUGCAUAAACAAAGAAGAAUAGUAUACAUGAUCAGUUUGCGGAUACCAUGAUCAGGAGUCUUGAGUAUUGACGGUGUUUUUUUCCUCGCACGGUAUUCACGUUGCUUUCUAUUCCGCUCCUCUCUUUGUUUGUUGGAUUCCUCGGCCCUUUUUCGUGCGCGAUAUUCAUGUUGUUUUCUAUUCCUCUCUUCCCUUUUUUUCUCUCUUCAUCAUUUGCAGGUGUUGUCUCUUCUACUGUGAUGUAUAAUGUGUGUCACAGUUUCGCUAAAAAAUCAUAGAAACUGACGAUGGACGAUGUCAACUAACAUACCUCGUCCGAUGAUGUUUGAUAUGUCGCCAAAUGUAGUGCGGGUUGGUUGUCUAUCCCCCAUGGAAGACCACUUAAUACCCUGUAAAAUAGUUAUUAUUUAUAAGUUUCAAUUUGUACUUCUUUUCAGUUUGCAGUACUCGUAGCUUAAAUUUUUAGCAUUUUUUCCUCCUUCUUACAGCUCAAUGACUUUUUACAGCAACCUCUUUAUUCAAUUCCUUGUCAAACCUAUAAAAAAAUAACAUAGGUCCAUGGAAAACAUGAGGAAACAAAAAUAUUAGUAGAAGUACAAUUACAUAGCAGAACUUUUAAUUUUAUUACAUACUGAUUGUUUUAUAGGUUGUGAACUACAAAAAAAAUCUGAAUCCAAUAUUUUUUUAUGCCAUCCAAUAGUAGUACCACCUAGUAACAUAGACGCAGUGUAGACUCAUCCUGAUUAGCCACUGCAUCAACCUGAUUAGCACUACUUGUUCCCCCAAACUCCACACUGCAUUAUUUUCCCCCAGAUCGAUGAAACCACCAAUGGCGGCGUGGCCAAGGGCUUUUGCCAAUAACAUGUGGUUAAGAAAUGUUUCUAUUUUCUGAAAUUUAUACAGGUGAUGACUAUGUCAAACUACUAAAGUCCAUAUGGAGCACUGCUGCGUGAUUUAUUUUCUAAAUAAUAUCUACUCACCUCACGUACUGUAGCAAUCUCAACAAAAGCAGAGCAACGACGUGGUCUCAUAAUUCCUGGCAAAUAAGUUCCCAAGAUUAGAAAACCAAAGAAAUUAAAUAAGAGAAAGGAAGCAGAGCAACGACUUGUGAGCUCUGACUCUACGUGAGCAGAGAAUGCAGAGAUGCAGCAACAGGCCGCAUGGACAGCCGUACCCAUGCUUCUUCCAGAUGAAUGAACUUCCGUCGCAAUGACUUCCGCCGUCGCAGUGACUUCCUCACGAGUUGUGGUCGCACGGCUGUCUCGCGGCACGGGCGGCGUGGCUGUGUUCCGGCGCGGCGCAGGCGGCGUGGCUGCGUUGCGGCGCCGGCGGCGUGGCUGCGUGGCGGCGGCGGGUAGGAUUGCGAGAGUGCGAGCGGCGUGGCGCGGCGCGGGCGGCGUGGCUGCGUUGCGGCGUCGGCGGCGUGGCUGCUUGGCAGCGGCGGGCAGGUUUGCGAGCGUGCGAGCGGCGUUGCUGCGUGCGGGCGGCGUCGGUCCUUGCGUUCGUGCGCCUCGUGCUUCGCGCCUAUUGGGUGCGGGAUGGUAGAGGGCACUUCGUGUUACGUGCCUGCGUGGGUGCGGGACGGAAGAGGGAUGAGUGAUGAGUUCUGAUCCCAGCAAUAUGGUACGUUAGAUGCGAGUGAGUGAGAGAAAGGAGAUUAUUAGAGUUAAUCUCGUCCGUACGUUUGAAAUAUUAGGUACUCAUGUGUGUAAUUUUGUGGGUGUACUUAGAAGAGUUGAUGACUGUGGUGGACACUAUUAGGUGUGGCUUUAGGAUAGUUUUUUGGGUGCAUUAUAUGUGGUAGAGAAUCUAAUCACCACUGAUAUAUAAUAAUAGAUAUUGGGUUUAUUUUUGUUUUCUUAAAAAUUACCCACAUUUGGAAAACAACAUAAAUUAGUAUACAUCCAAGUUAUCUACCCAUAUUAUUAUGAAACAUAAGCUAAAAUAAUUAAAUUAUGCACCAUGCCGUUAUGGUAGGUAAUCAAAGCAACCCUUUAAUUUUGCAUCUAAAAUACCACUUUUGCUAGUGUAAAAAGGUAAACUAAAAAUAAAUCUGAUCAAAUCUACGUCUAAAUUAACAACACAUGCCACCAUGUGUUAAAACAUAUACAUAAUUUAUUCCUUCGAAUGCUUUUAAAGCUAAGGAGGCAUAUAUGUUCUGUGAUCACGCAGAGACGCAGAGUCAAAUGUACAUGCACGUAUAAGCGUAAAUGUAUAUUUUGUGGCUUAUGAAUCGUGAAAAGAAUUUAUUAAUGAAUUAUAUACCAAUGACACUAAAAAUUAUCUUCUCCGAGCACCGGCCGUUAGUAUUAUGUCUUUUCAAACUAAUGCUAUGACAGUAUGACUUUGACCAAACCAAGUCAGCAGUCAACACUCAUCAAAUUUCCAAAUCGCAUAUAUAUGGACAACUACCCCUAUCUGCUCCGGCCCCAGAACAUGCAGAACGUGGCUAUGGGCGCGGUGCGAUCUCUUUCUUACGAGCAGAGGAUAUGGACGGUUUGACGUUUAAUUUGAAAACUAAGCAAUGGAUCAUAAGCCAUAAGUCAGAGUGCUUGCUGGAGGCUGGAGGUGUACUCUAUCCAGGGGCGAAGCCAGCCAAAAGUGGUGUCGGGGUCAGUACUGAGUUUUCACUAAUUCAUUGGGGUAUGUUGACCCCAAUAACAAAGCCUAGCUUCGCCCCUCACUCUAUCUUAUCUGCUGGACCUCGGAACGUGGUGUCAUCUGCCUAACAGUGAACUUGAGUAAAAUGCAUCUGAGGUCUUUUAACUUGUACAAAGCUUUUAGCCAACAACUCUAAAAGUUGAUUUUAAGGUUGAUAAAAUUUUUAAGUUACUCAUUGCAGUUGCAAAUAGUCAUUCGGCCCUUAGAUCUAACAUGGCAUACUGAGUCAAUACUAGGAUAGCAAUUAAAUUGCAUUUAACCUCUUCUUCUCACCUCAUCUCCCUAUCCCUAGCCUCCUGACUCCUAAACUACCGUCGUCGCUGCCAUGCUCUUGCUCGUCAGUGCCCUAACUCCUCUGCGUCUCUUGCGCUCUUUUGCCCUGUGCUCAUAGGCCCAUAUGCGCUCGUUAGUCCUAUGCAGUUGUUCGAUAACCACGGCUCUACAACAAUCUAGACCCAUGCUGCAUUCUAUGCUCUCGUUGGGUCCUCUCCUCUCCUUCCUUCCCCCCCUCUUCCAUGCUCCCUUCCUCGAGCAGCACCAUGUAUCACGUGGGCCGGUGAGUGUGGACACCGGUAAGCUAUAUGAGCGCUCCGCCACACACCGUAUGUUCCUUUCAUUGUAGGGGUGUUGCUAAGCGGCUAGUGCAACUGUAUGGGGCCAUCGGGCGAGCACGAGCACACAGGCCAGAGAGUGUGGGAGGCGCAGGGGGGCAUUGGUGAGCGAGAGCAUGGCGCAUGGCGGUGACGGCAUGUGUGAGUAACUUUUUGUGGAUCUGAAAUUGACUUUUAGAGUUGAAGUUUACAGACCUAAUGAAACUCCACGCAUAAAUUUGUUUAGAUACCCUGUGAUUAUAAUAAUUAGAUUGUACAAUCAAAUUAUGUUCUUAUUAACAUGACUAAUUAUAUGAUAUUAGAUUAUUAUAAUCAAAAUCCUUGAUUAUCUUAAUCCCAUAAUGUAGGUGAGACCAUGUUUUAGGAGAUUAUGGGCGUUGAAAGUCUAACUUGGCCCCGAUUAAUUGUUCAACUUGCCAAACUAAAAAAUAAAAUAUAAAAUUUUAACCGACCAUAAUCAACCACCGUAUCUAGGGAUCAAACACUCUGAUCAUACAUAUUCACAUGUUUAAUGGUUCUGGUGCAUUUAACUCUCUGAACAUUUGAGUAUAUUGCGGCUUCUCUCGGUGAUGUGAUUUGUAAUUAAACGUGCAACAAUCUUUCUGUGAAGGGAUUUUUUGUAACAGUUUUUUUCUGACAAUGGCUCGUUAUGUAAUUAAUUUGAGCCAUGACCUUUUAGCCAAAAUAUAAACCAAGUGUAUGAUUAAAAAGUUAUGGUUAAAAUGCUUUUUUAUUGUGAUGCUUAAUAGCUCGUAGAUUUUGCUACAUACUAUACUCUAGCAAACAGGCUAAGGCCUUGUUUAGUUCCCAAAAAAUUUUAUAAAUUUUUUUCAGAUUUCUCGUCACAUCAAAUUUUUAGAUGUAUGCAUGAAGUAUUAAAUAUUGACGAAACAAAUCUUCUAUAAGUGUCAAUUUCUUAAAAAAAUUUUAAAACUAAACAAGGGCUAACUUCUAGUCUUCCCGCGGUCAAGUCAAGGAAGAUUCGAUGGCCCACCACGCAUAAGGGAAGCUUCGUGGUGGGCCUGUGGCUGUGGGGUGUUGUCGUGUGUGAACCGCCGAACACUGACCCCCACCAUCAGCAGUCAAGUACAGAGACUUGAGCCAUGCAGUCCAGAGCAGGCUUCUCUUAGGACGUCAGCUCUGGCCCUCCGACUCCGAGAUAUAAAAACACCCAGGCGCUUGUGAUGCCACACCUCGCCACCGCCACCGUGGGCUUCGUUUCCGUCGCCCUGCCACUGCCAACCAAAAUGGCAGCUCACAACUCGGCCGCUUGCGGCUUUCGCGUGCUCCUCCUCCUCCUCCUGUCCACUGCCACUCUCUCCGCCUCAGGCUCCUCCCUCUGCACCAUGCCCUCCCCUGCUCCCAAACACCAGCCAGGCGGCGAGGACGCCCUCCCGCUCCUCGGCUCCUUGGAGCUCAACGCCGGCUACUUCUUCGGAGGCGAAGAUCUCCAGUUCACCAAAGAUGAGGGCAACGAGACGUCCUACUCCUAUGUCACCCGCUCCUUCUCUUUGCUCCUCCUCCACGCCUAUCGAACAUCUGACACCGCCGUUUUCCACGUCGCCGCCAUCUUAACCCUUUCCGGCGGCCGCGACAAGGAGAGCCACUACAUGGGAUCCCAUCGGCGGCGACACCACCAUCGCUACGUGGGCAGUCACUCUGUCACUUUCUCCGUCGAGGGUUACUACACCAACGGCACCACCUCCGCGGAGCUUUGCAUGGCUGGCACAGGCUCCUAUUCCGACGAGAACGGCUCCACCAACAAGCGCCUCCCCGGCGUCGACCUCUACCUCCGCGUCCCCAACCCGUCCAGCAUCACGGACCCCUUCAUCACCGGCGGCGUCAGGGGCACUGGCUUCAACACCAUCUCUCUCGUCGCGUACGUCGAAGACGACAGCGACACCUACAACUAUGGCGCCAAGAGCGCCUCCUGCUCGACGCCGCCGCCAUCUUCUGCCGCGGCCGCGAGGGGCGCGCUCCAGGCGCUUGGCCCCAGCUUCUCUUGCGCGCACCUCAAGGAAAGUCUCGCGACCUCUUACAAGCUGCGGGACGGCGACGGCGCACACGCGCCGGUCUCCUCGCCGGAGCGGCGCCUGCACAUCAGCGAGGUGCAGUGCACCGCGGACGGGUCCGUGCGCGCGUACGCGGCGUUCUCCAACGAUACGCAGAGCUGGAGACGUCUGCAGCCACGCUCACCCUUCGUGGCCAAGGACGAGGCGGUUGUCGCCGAAGGGCAGUGGGACUCAGCUCGGAGCAUGCCUCUGCCUCAGGGCGUGUCGUGUGGUGAGCUCUGGGGCGUCCAUGGAGGUGAACAAGGAGUGCGACAUGGGCAUGAGCUUCUGGUUCCCGGGAGUCUGGACGAUUCGGGACCGGAGUGCCGUCGCCGGCAUGCUUUGGAACUCGAGCAAAGCGGCUGGUGGCUCUGGUGUCAGCGGUGUGAUAUCAGCGUCGAGCAUCGAUGUCAGCAUCCAUAGAGGCAACUUCUCAGACGUUAAGUACGACUACGACUACACGAUGGUCGAGGAGGCGAAGAAGCACUAUCUCCAGGAUCGUGUAUUGAGCAAGCCCAAGACGAAGGUUAAGGGCCCGUUCAUUGCUCCUAACUACACCGAUCAUGACUUCGAGUUCCAUUUCUACGAGACUAAAAGCAUGAUGCUGCUGAGUGGAGACGCCUACCCGGUUACGAUCGGCUCGGCGAUGGUCUAUGGUGAUCAGCUGGCCGCGGCCGAUUCCUUCUCCCGGAACGCCGUGGUUGACAUGAAUUCGCAGGAGCUGUUGAACGUCAGCUACGACAUACGUGAGCGGGUUCCACCUACGGGCUGGGUGCGUCCCAAGAACCGGUCGUACGGGGUCACCCUUGAAGAGCGGCGAAUGACAGCAGAGGGUGUCUUUGAUCCGAAGACAGGCAUCCUGUGCAUGAUCGCCUGCCGAGAGUACAACAGCUCGACGACGGACUGCCAAAUACUGAUCACCGUUUAUUUAGCUUCGCUGGACGGCAAGGCUCAUGGCCAUGGAAGGGGAGCGAUCAGCAGCCUGAGAGACAAGGCGACGGACCCUCUCUUCUUCGAGAAGGUCGACAUCAGGUUGUUCGGGAUGUACAGCGGCCAGAUCUCGGAGUCGAUCUCGAGGAUGGACUUGGAGAGCAUCCUGCUGGUGAUCUCGACGACGCUGCCGUGCGUCUUCACCGUCCUGCAGAUCUUCCACGCCAAGAGGAGACCCGAGGCGGCGGCGGCCACCUCGGUCGCCAUGCUCGUCGUGCUGGCCCUGGGGUACGUCGCCCCUCUGGUGGUGAGCUCCGAG